CCUACGGGCGGCAGCAGUGAGGAAUAUUGGUCAAUGGGCGCAAGCCUGAACCAGCCAAGUCGCGUGAGGGAUGGCGGUCCUAUGGAUUGUAAACCUCUUUUGUCGGGGAGCAAGGCCCGCCACGUGUGGCGGGAAGGAGAGUACCCGAAGAAAAAGCAUCGGCUAACUCCGUGCCAGCAGCCGCGGUAAGACGGAGGAUGCGAUCGUUCUCCGGAUUUAUUGGGUUUAAAGGGUGCGUAGGCGGAAGGUUAAGUCAGCGGUCAAAUGUCGGCGCUGAACAGCGGCCUGCCGUUGAAACUGGUCGUCUUGAGUGAGCGAGAAGUAUGCGGAAUGCGUGGUGUAGCGGUGAAAUGCAUAGAUAUCACGCAGAACUCCGAUUGCGAAGGCAGCAUACCGGCGCUCAACUGACGCUGAGGCACGAAAGCGUGGGGAUCGAACAGGAUUAGAUACCCCAGUAGUC
Molecule: ribosomal RNA, 460 nt
Filed under: uncultured bacterium
Lineage: Bacteria
Description: partial 16S ribosomal RNA
Rfam family: Bacterial small subunit ribosomal RNA
Source: RNAcentral